GUGUUUGUUUGUGUGUGUAUUUUCACUUGGAUGCCAUGGGACUGUGUUUACAGCUAGCUAGGAUAGAUAGCCUCAGCAAAAAAAGUGAUUUGUUUUGACAGAUUUUCAAAUGGUAAAAAGCUUAGUUGGGUAAAAGCUAAGAAGUAUAAAUUAAACCUUGUACACACAUGCAUUGAAGCUAGCUAAAUACAGUUUCAUUUUGAAGCUUGAUACAUCAAAUGCACACUACAGCCACGCUUGAGUUCUGGCUUCUUUACUGUGAGAUUACUCUGGUCCCGGUGAAUGCCCGGAGCGCUACAGCUAUUCGUUAACACAUAAAGCUUAGUUCCAUGCAUGCAUGUCUGACCAAGAACCACUGCCGUUUUCGACUGUACUUGUCAUAGCGUACAUUGCACUAUUAUUGUAUAGAUGCAGUAAGCGGUCAAUAUAAGUUUCGUUUAUGUAGUACGCCAGUACGUUUACACUGUAUUAAAAGCGUUGCAAUUCACCGUUACACGUUGCAAGUAUACGUUUUGCAAAAAAACAAACAAAGAGACAAUCCUAGUCACCUCGAGUAUCGUAGCUAGACUAGUUACUUAGCUAUAUGCUGUACAUACUUGAUGCUAUGUUUCAAUAUAAUUAUAUUGUACAUUGUACAUUUAUAAUUAUUGUACAUACUAGAUCUACUGCUUUUCACGUGUACAUUAUAGUUGUGAGACGCCAACUGCCCAGAGGGAAACCACACCAUUCGCAAAAAUACGCCUAAUUCCCUCUCACAUCUAAAGUUCUUUUAAAAUGGUGGUCGUACUUUUUUGAAGGUACUAUAAUUAUUGUUGUAAGAAUUGAUGUGAAAAAACAUAUUGCAGGAUGAUGUUGAAAGUGACACGUGUUGGAGAGAGCAUUAUACUGGACACCCUUGUAUGACCACACCACUGUAAAGUAUCGACACAAUUGGAGGUGAUGCUGAGAAGUCAAAGGCAGUAUCUUACAAUUGCAGUGAACUGAGUGCAGACUUGCUAUGGUUAAAAAACUUUUCACUUUUAUAUCCUCAUCGUUUGUUUAAUACAAUUUUAAUACUGUAUUGAUGUAUUGUUGUUUUCUGAUGUUUGAAAUUGAUUUAGCACAAUACAAUCAGCACAACUGUUUCAGCACAUUAGAAUUCAGCACAUGUGCCGGUUUAGCACAUCAGGUUGUUUAGCACAUGUGCAAACGUGCUAAAACUGGAGACAUUUGUUUAGCACGGUUUUCUGUGGCUACCAUAUAGUCAUAGUCAUCAGCUUUCCUAGCAUUGCUCAGUACUGCCCAUUGAUUAAUAGAGUUUGUUGUCCGGCCUGUAACUACAGUUUCAAGAUUUUUUGAAUAAGUCGACGUUGCAGUAAUUUGUGAAGAUGGACAGAAAUGGAACUUGUGUUGACCUAGAGCUAGGUGGGAACAGCACAACAUACUGACAUGUAGACACUUUGAUCGCAUACGUAAGUGUUAGUUUUACUAUGUUUUCAAGGACGCAUAGGUUUAUUUUGCUCAUUAUUUAACAUUAUUUUGUCAUAAUUAUAAUUAUACUGCCAAAUAAAAAUGUUUUAUCUGUACAAGAACUAGCUGAGAUGAUAGCCUUCCACCGAUUAUAAUAAUUGU
This is a long non-coding RNA of Halichondria panicea, 1611 nucleotides long. RefSeq lists it as uncharacterized. Lineage: Eukaryota; Metazoa; Porifera; Demospongiae; Suberitida; Halichondriidae. The record is from RefSeq and is a predicted model, not a curated record. The transcript has 2 exons.